RNAcentral lists this ribosomal RNA (232 nucleotides) under uncultured bacterium. Its description in RNAcentral is "partial 16S ribosomal RNA". It matches the Rfam family "Bacterial small subunit ribosomal RNA", at positions 99 to 334 of the family's 1533-position model. The record is from RNAcentral.
CGGACGGGUGAGUAAUGUCUGGGAAACUGCCUGAUGGCGGGGGAUAACUACUGGAAACGGUAGCUAAUACCGCAUAAUGUCUACGGACCAAAGCGGGGGACCUCCGGGCCUCGCGCCAUCAGAUGAACCCAUAUGGGAUUAGCUAGUAGGUAAGGUAACGGCUUACCUAGGCGACGAUCCCUAGCUGGUCUGAGAGGAUGAUCAGCCACACUGGGACUGAGACACGGCCCAG